Molecule: ribosomal RNA, 254 nt
Filed under: uncultured bacterium
Lineage: Bacteria
Description: partial 16S ribosomal RNA
Rfam family: Bacterial small subunit ribosomal RNA
Source: RNAcentral
CGCAAGCUCGCGAGAGUAAGCUAAUCUCUUAAAGCCGUUCUCAGUUCGGACUGUAGGCUGCAACUCGCCUACACGAAGUCGGAAUCGCUAGUAAUCGCGGAUCAGCAUGCCGCGGUGAAUACGUUCCCGGGCCUUGUACACACCGCCCGUCACACCAUGGGAGUUUGUAACGCCCAAAGUCGGUGGCCUAACCAUUAUGGAGGGAGCCGCCUAAGGCGGGACAGAUGACUGGGGUGAAGUCGUAACAAGGUAAC